ACGAGUGGCGGACGGGUGAGUAAUGUCUGGGAAACUGCCUGAUGGAGGGGGAUAACUACUGGAAACGGUAGCUAAUACCGCAUAACGUCGCAAGACCAAAGAGGGGGACCUUCGGGCCUCUUGCCAUCGGAUGUGCCCAGAUGGGAUUAGCUAGUAGGUGGGGUAACGGCUCACCUAGGCGACGAUCCCUAGCUGGUCUGAGAGGAUGACCAGCCACACUGGAACUGAGACACGGUCCAGACUCCUACGGGAGGCAGCAGUGGGGAAUAUUGCACAAUGGGCGCAAGCCUGAUGCAGCCAUGCCGCGUGUAUGAAGAAGGCCUUCGGGUUGUAAAGUACUUUCAGCGGGGAGGAAGGGAGUAAAGUUAAUACCUUUGCUCAUUGACGUUACCCGCAGAAGAAGCACCGGCUAACUCCGUGCCAGCAGCCGCGGUAAUACGGAGGGUGCAAGCGUUAAUCGGAAUUACUGGGCGUAAAGCGCACGCAGGCGGUUUGUUAAGUCAGAUGUGAAAUCCCCGGGCUCAACCUGGGAACUGCAUCUGAUACUGGCAAGCUUGAGUCUCGUAGAGGGGGGUAGAAUUCCAGGUGUAGCGGUGAAAUGCGUAGAGAUCUGGAGGAAUACCGGUGGCGAAGGCGGCCCCCUGGACGAAGACUGACGCUCAGGUGCGAAA
RNAcentral lists this ribosomal RNA (671 nucleotides) under Escherichia coli. Its description in RNAcentral is "bacterial SSU rRNA". It matches the Rfam family "Bacterial small subunit ribosomal RNA", at positions 91 to 758 of the family's 1533-position model. The record is from RNAcentral. Lineage: Bacteria; Pseudomonadati; Pseudomonadota; Gammaproteobacteria; Enterobacterales; Enterobacteriaceae.